Molecule: long non-coding RNA, 1187 nt
Filed under: Homo sapiens (human)
Lineage: Eukaryota; Metazoa; Chordata; Mammalia; Primates; Hominidae
Description: HSALNT0380223
Source: RNAcentral
CUUGGGAGGAAGCAGGCAUAGGGCUGAUGCAUCGCAGUGUCCACAUAUGCAGGGAGGCUGGUUUCCUAGGAAGCCUCCCAAUGAGGAAAUUGUUGGGAAUGUGCUGCAAGGCGCUGCCUCGCUCUGGAGCCAGACGAGAGGCCGGAGCAUCCGCCCCAACAUGGCUGGCUGUGUGAGCCUCAGGAACGCUGGCAGCUCUGCAAGACUCUCUGCCAUCUGCAAAAUAGGAGGAAAAUGAGCUGCAGAAGGAUCAAAUGACCUGCCUGAGGUGCCCUAUCUGUUGGCACAGGCCAGAGCACAUGGUGGAUGCAGGGGCACCCCCUUCCCUUCUCCUCCCCUCCGGCUCUUUGCUGACAGGAUUCUCUCUUGCCUUCUCUGAUGGUACCUGUGCUACGUGCCACAUCCUUUCCCUCAAUGAAUUUCAGGCAGUGGAAGGGGCCGCAGAAGUUCCUUGACUCAUGAGGCGAGGCAUUCAGCGGCCUCGUGACACCUCCCAGGAUCUGCAGUCAUUGGGCUGCACUUGCCAAUAGCAACACCUGGCAAAAAUAGCUAAGAAGCAGAGCGGCCUGGGCUCAGGAGCUGAGCAACCCCUGACUGGCCAGAUGGAGACUGUGUUGAGCUCUGCCCAAGCCCUGUGAUCCUGGAAAACAGUGAAGUUAAGGAGCCAUCUGCAUUCUAGGGAAUGGCCCACUGCAAAAAAUAGCCUUCCUUAUAGGACGUAGAGGACUCAUGAUGUCCCCUCAUUUAUGAUGAGCCAACACACAGCCCUUCCAAAUUCCGAUUCUUUGCUUCAUAACUGAUGAGCUGUUUUGUUCCCACUGGUCAAUCGGAACAACAUUCUUGCUAACCAGAUUUUGGUUCAGCUCUUCUCCCUCCCCAUGUACCUGCCCUGUGUCCUGUCCUCAUCCUGAGCCAGCACACACCCCUCCUUAGUAGCUCCUCCUGCAGCAGGCUGACCUCGGACUCUCCCUGAUCCAUUGUCCAAAUAUAUCACCCUUUCACCCUACAUCCUCACACCCCAUUCUUUCUAGUUUUGUUCAUUCCUCCCUGUGAAAGAUGAACCCUCUUUGCCUAACCCCGGACCUGCUUGCAGACUGCUAUGAUGGCCAGAGUGUCCCCCCUACUGCAAGAGUCCCUUCUGUCCCUUGCAACAUCUUUUAAAUAAAAUCUCUCUUUACCAAGCCUGG